RNAcentral lists this ribosomal RNA (390 nucleotides) under Salmonella enterica. RNAcentral describes it as "bacterial SSU rRNA". It matches the Rfam family "Bacterial small subunit ribosomal RNA", at positions 1126 to 1515 of the family's 1533-position model. RNAcentral also lists the same sequence under 5 other names. The record is from RNAcentral. Lineage: Bacteria; Pseudomonadati; Pseudomonadota; Gammaproteobacteria; Enterobacterales; Enterobacteriaceae.
UUAGGCCGGGAACUCAAAGGAGACUGCCAGUGAUAAACUGGAGGAAGGUGGGGAUGACGUCAAGUCAUCAUGGCCCUUACGACCAGGGCUACACACGUGCUACAAUGGCGCAUACAAAGAGAAGCGACCUCGCGAGAGCAAGCGGACCUCAUAAAGUGCGUCGUAGUCCGGAUUGGAGUCUGCAACUCGACUCCAUGAAGUCGGAAUCGCUAGUAAUCGUGGAUCAGAAUGCCACGGUGAAUACGUUCCCGGGCCUUGUACACACCGCCCGUCACACCAUGGGAGUGGGUUGCAAAAGAAGUAGGUAGCUUAACCUUCGGGAGGGCGCUUACCACUUUGUGAUUCAUGACUGGGGUGAAGUCGUAACAAGGUAACCGUAGGGGAACCUGC